CACUUUGUCUCUAUAUAUGGUAAUGGAGCUCACACCGACCAGCCGCCUGCCUUCCUAGGAGGCUGGCCAGUCAAAGCACUCGAGGAGACCUCGCGACUACCGUGGGCACGGCGGGUUUGUCUUCUAGUAACGAAUCCAGGAUGAAGUAGAAGACACUCCAUGAACCUUGAUUGUCUCAGGAUGAGUAUCAGAACACACAGGCUGGUGGGAACAUGCAAUGCCUCUAAGAACUUCAGCUCAGAAGAGGCAAAUGGCUCAUAUAUUUAUGGCCCAUCUUGUCAAGUCACAAAGUCUCUAUCCUCAAUCAGUGGGAUGAGGAUGCCUACAGGGAAAAGUGGAAAAGAGGAAAAGGAAAUGGAUAAUUGUGAACAAAUGAUACAAUCUCCAUGCCUUAUGAGGCAGAUACUGCUAUAACUCUCCUGAUAGAGAAGAAAAUUGAAGCACGGAGAGGCUGAGAACAUCAUCCAAAGUCCUACAGCUUCUUAGUGGUAGAGUCAAGAUUUCAUCCUGGGGAGUCUGACUCCAUGGUGUGGAAUCAUUUUCUAGAUUCUUCCUCUGGGAACUCUCAUUUUUGUGGCAUGACCUAUAUCAUCUUGUAUAAAUUUUCAGCAGGCUUUAAUAAAAGCAACUUUAAAGAAGA
This is a long non-coding RNA of Nyctereutes procyonoides (raccoon dog), 640 nucleotides long. RefSeq lists it as uncharacterized. NCBI's taxonomy places the organism in Eukaryota, Metazoa, Chordata, Mammalia, Carnivora, Canidae. The record is from RefSeq and is a predicted model, not a curated record. The transcript is spliced from 2 exons.